AUGUAGGGGAGACUGGAAUUCCUGGUGUAGCGGUGAAAUGCGCAGAUAUCAGGAGGAACACCGAUGGCGAAGGCAGGUCUCUUGGCAUUAACUGACGCUGAGGAGCGAAAGCAUGGGGAGCGAACAGGAUUAGAUACCCUGGUAGUCCAUGCCGUAAACGUUGGGCACUAGGUGUGGGGGACAUUCCACGUUUUCCGCGCCGUAGCUAACGCAUUAAGUGCCCCGCCUGGGGAGUACGGCCGCAAGGCUAAAACUCAAAGGAAUUGACGGGGGCCCGCACAAGCGGCGGAGCAUGCGGAUUAAUUCGAUGCAACGCGAAGAACCUUACCAAGGCUUGACAUGGACCGGACCGCCGCAGAAAUGUGGUUUCCCCUUUGGGGCCGGUUCACAGGUGGUGCAUGGUUGUCGUCAGCUCGUGUCGUGAGAUGUUGGGUUAAGUCCCGCAACGAGCGCAACCCUCGUUCCAUGUUGCCAGCGCGUAAUGGCGGGGACUCAUGGGAGACUGCCGGGGUCAACUCGGAGGAAGGUGGGGACGACGUCAAAUCAUCAUGCCCCUUAUGUCUUGGGCUUCACGCAUGCUACAAUGGCCGGUACAAAGGGUUGCGAUACUGUGAGGUGGAGCUAAUCCCAAAAAGCCGGUCUCAGUUCGGAUUGGGGUCUGCAACUCGACCCCAUGAAGUCGGAGUCGCUAGUAAUCGCAGAUCAGCAACGCUGCGGUGAAUACGUUCCCGGGCCUUGUACACACCGCCCGUCAAGUCACGAAAGUUGGUAACACCCGAAGCCGGUGGCCUAACCCCUUG
RNAcentral lists this ribosomal RNA (800 nucleotides) under Arthrobacter sp. RNAcentral describes it as "bacterial SSU rRNA". It matches the Rfam family "Bacterial small subunit ribosomal RNA", at positions 649 to 1445 of the family's 1533-position model. The record is from RNAcentral. Lineage: Bacteria; Bacillati; Actinomycetota; Actinomycetes; Micrococcales; Micrococcaceae.